GCCGUGGAAGACACACUUGCUGCUGUAACAAGCAUGUAAGCAAAGCAAGAGUUUAUCGUGGAACUUAUUAGCUGGCUGAAGGUUUCAGAGGCACUUGAGAAAUUCUAUUGAACAGAGAACAUUUGGGAGAAGACCAUGUGUAGGAGCUUUCUCCUCAUAAUUCUGACUUCAUGUUUCUGCGGUUAGUUGAACCUCCAUGAGGACGCUGAUUUAGUACCUUUGUGAAUUUAUAUUUUACAUAAACAUUUAGUAAUGGUUAGAACGGUUGUUUUUAAUAGUUUAGCCAUCAUCAUUCCCAGAGGAAAAAUUGUGAUAAACUCGAACUUUUUUGUCUGUCAUCUUGCUAAUGCCAUGCAGUGGCUAAAAAAUUUAGCUAGCAUAGAAUAGCCCAGAUUUGAAUUUCCACUGCCUGCUAGGGUUGCCAACCGUCCCUUAAAAUACGGAAUCGUCCUGUAUUUCGAAACAAAAGUACACGUCCCGUAUUGAGCUAAUAAGGGACGCACUUUGUCCCGUAAUACAGUGAGAAUCAAAAGUAGUCUAUAAAUGUUAAUGGAAUUAACGCUUUGUUUGAAAACAUAAUUCCCAGCCCCUCUCCUGCUUUGUGACCAAUGAGCUGACAGCACACUUAUGACAAUUCGAGUAUGACAAUUCAGAUUACCGCUCAUCUCAUUGGUCAGGAAAGGUCGCUUACGGAGAAAAUACCGGAAGACAACAGAUGACCACAACAAGAAGCAUGGCCAACAGGGGAACAAACGCCGACACUGCGGUGCAAGUCUCGGACGACAGUACACCUAAAGCUGGGCAGACACUGUGCGAUUUUUUCAGUCGCGUUAUUCAGCUCCUGCUCAAACUGCACGAUUGACUCGCAGGGGUUAGAAGUUGGUAGGUCACGAUGCAGGGUCUCACACUAUACGGCCCGAUGCUCUGAUGCGACCUGAGUGCUCACACUGUGCCUCCAUAAAAUGAAGGUUAUAACAGGAAAUCUGUCGCUCGCUCACACAGACACACCACCACCAUCAACUUUGCUAAAUUGCUAAUGAAAAACAUGAUCAGGCAGCUGUGAUUUAGCAGCGAUGUAGAUCCAACUAUUUUCACGGUUGUUGUGGUCGUGAUAAUUUUGUGAUGCCACAUCGAAAAGGCUCGGAUGAGCUUUCCAAAGUUCUACAAGUUGUGCCUCCAUCGCUUGUGUCCAGAUCACACGCUGCACAGCCGUGCUGCUCCGUCUUUUUCACGGCGUUUACGUGUUUGCGCGCGAGCAGUGUGAGCGGCUCACGAGCGAUUGAUGAUCGGGAGCUGGUCGUGAGGUGUUAAUCACUUCUCGUUACCCCACGUAUACUACACGAUGCAUGAUGAAGGCCAAAAUCGGUCCGAUCACUCAAAAAUCGGCUCAAAAUGGGCCUAAAACCGCACAGUGUGAGCCCAGCAUUAGAGCAGCAAUGUUUGUUCCCCUCAGAGAAAGGGAAGAAUGGGAAAAGGAAAACACCUGGCUGGAAAAAGUUAAUAUGGGCAUGUGCAGUGAAUAUCAGCGCUAUGUGGCCAGAAGUGUGAUAAUAUAACUUAUUUUGUGUAAUAAACGACUGCAAGGAUAGAUGAUUACAACAAAUAGAUGACUAAUACAUAAAAGUAAUACAUAGAUGAAUAAUGAUGAUGAGUUAAGAUGCUUAAUCAUGGGAACAAGCGGGUUUUCAAACGGGAGCAGCUGAUUAGCAUUAGAAAAGCUGAAAUAAUACCUCAGCUGAAGCCAAUUGUACUAAAUGCACUAAAUGUGCACUGUUACAAGAAUAUUUUUCUUUCUAUUGUUUUCUAUUAUUUUAAGUUAAGCAGGACAGAGUUCUUUUAAAGAAAGAUUUACUUAUAUUCUCAAAAGUUAAGCAUGACAGGCUUCUGUUUAAGAAAGAGACUUGUUUUAUGUGUUAAUGUUGUCAUUUUGAGCUAAAAAUAAAUGGCUAAAUGAUCAUUUGUUUCACAUGUGUUCAUAUCACAAAGAAUAGAAUAUGCAUCUACUUAAAUCAAAUUCAAGUCAAAGGGUUAAAAAAAAUAAUUUCACACACAAAAAAAAGAGCUAGAAAAUUCACCACACUGGGAAGGGUGAAGACAACUGGGUCGCCCGGCCCUGGCCACGAGGUGUCCCUUAUUUAUUUUUCAGGGAGUUGGCAACCCUACUGCCUGCAGUUACCUGAGCUGAAGGUUUUCUUCAACAUGGACGAUAGUUCUGAUGAGCCUCAGCAUGAGCAGUUUGCUGGACGUGUUCAGUGUGACAAAGACGCUCUGACGACAGGACGAGUCAGACUUCAGCUGUCCAGAGUUAGGAGUAACGACUCGGGCCGCUACCUCUGCAGGAUGGCCACUCAGUUUGGAAAGAAGGUUAAAGAGUUCAGGCUCAACAUCACUGCAGCCACAGUGAAACCCAAGCCAGUGACAGCAACACGAGAACCAAACCGAAAACCUGAGAGAGGAGAAAGAAGCCUUUUUUCCAACUUGGCAUUGGGUGCAGGAUUGGCAGGAUGUCUGGCAGCCUUUGUCAUACCAAUCAUUUACCUCUUUACUCUAUACAGACAGGGGACAACUUAAAGUAUAAAACACAGUACACUCAGUCAUACAAUAGCUUCUGUAGACCUUGGUAGUGACUCUGCAGGGCUCUGGAACUUGGCUAGAGAUCGUCUGAUCACUGUCAGCGAGUUUAUUGGAUCUGGGUGAUUGUCCUCCUGGGAGAGACCAAUCUCAUCAGGAUGAAGACGAUUACUUAGAAAAACUGCAGUAACACUUCACUCUCAAGGAUUAAGUGGAAACAAAGAAUGGAAGCAAAGUGCCUGCUCAAGAAAGUGCAAUGAGGAACAUACAUGUUCUUCUGCUGCCCCCUGCUGCUCUGAAGAGAAAUGCAGGAGCUCAGUGACAAGCGCUGAGCAGGUCCUUCUGAGCUUUUGAAAAAGGUUGGACAUAAAUCACAGAAGUCUCUGAAUUCUCACAGUUUUCUACCUUAUUAGUGUUACAGCUGAAAUGUGAAUUUAAAAAAAGAGUAACAUCUAUAUUUAGUAAAAUAAGAGAAUACGGGUUUUUAAUGACCUUUUAUGUAUUGUUGAUAGUGACUCUGUUGUACUUUUAUUACUGGAUCUUAGUCCUGCAUUUGACACACUGGAAAAUAAGUUUGAUUUUCCAUGAUUAACAAUAAAAUGUAGAAAUCAUGUAGGAGAGUCAUGCCAGCAAUUAAAACCGCUUCCUGUAUCUCGUUAACCACACAAACACAAAUGAGGAAUACCUUACAAUAAUCAUCAAUCUUUCUUAGACUCAAACACAUGGAAAGAGUGAUCAGCAAUCAUUUUUGUCAUUUCAAGUCACAAUACCUAAAUUUUUAUUUUAUUGUUGUUAAGGAAAGAAAGUUUACCUCAUUUUUUCAUGUUAAUUUCAGUCAGGUUACGCUAUAAAAUUAGAUCACAGUCUUAAGAUAAUUGUGGAUCUGGGUCAUUGUCUGAAAACAGUUUUUUUUAAAAAUGAGGCUUGGGGGGAAAAUGUGACAGUGAUAUUGAGGCAAGUUGAGUCAGUGGCUGGAAUAUAACCCCAAAGAGUUUAUGUAGACUAUGUUCCUAGAAACGUCUGCGUUUAAGUGUUCAUUUCCAGUAUUCCACAGAAAAGCUAAAGAUGGCCAGACAGUGCAAAAGAUAAAGGCUUUGCAUUCUUAGAUGAUCUAAACAGAGCAGCAAUGCUCUGCAGCAAUUGAUGGAAGUGAAACUGAGCUCCAUACACAUAUUAGUCUUCCCAAGGGAGUAUGUAGUUGGUUCUGUUUGUUUUUCUGAUUGUUAGCAGUCUAGCUCGACAGUUGUCAGUAUUAUAUUAUAUCACAUUAUUUUGUGAUGGUAGAUACCAAUAAGUUUGAGUGGUUUUGAUUUUGGUGAAAAUGAGGUCAACAUAAAGAUCACACCAAAUGUGAAAAUCAGUAUAAAAGUUUAUGUUAUCCACAAUGUUUUAUGAAUUGUCUUCAAACUUCACAAUAUAAUAUGCUUCUGGGGACAUGAGUACCUAGGACACCUGAACAUUUGACCUGGACCCUUGUUAGCAGUCUACCAUGGAAAAAAAAACUUUAAAGAAACCACAAUGUCAUUAGAUAUAGUAUGAAAUAUCAUACGAAAGAACAUGGAGAGAGCUGCACAACACGCGUUAUUUUACGCUACCCAUUGCCUUUUGGGGGAGUGGUGUUCUGAGUCCUCUUGUCCAUCUUGUAGCUAACACACUAAAAUCACAAUUUAAUAUUUACUGAAAAUGUUUCUAUAGUAUGAACAGGAAACAAAUGUAUUUUUACCUUUAUUGAACUGAAGGCUCAAUAAAGUUUGAAAUUAUCUCAAGCCUUAAUGUGCAGUUUUAUUUACCCUUGUAGGGCCCAUUUUACCCCAACAUUGGGGCAAGUUGAGCCAUGUGCCUAAUGUUUUGAUAGGUCAUUGUUCUAAAAGCAAGGUGUUUGAUAACUGGACUGGUUCUUAUAUAGUUUCUUUGUCACUACUCAAAGAGUUUUAUCCAACUUGCCUCAUUCACAAAAGCACUUUUUUCCCUUUAAGCGCAGUUUAACAUUCACACUAAUGCAUCAGAGAGCAACUUGGGGUUACAUCUCUUGCACACUGCAGCCAGGGAUUGAACCACCAACCUUCCCAUUGUUAGAGGACCUGCUCUACCCAUGCUUUACAGAGUUCCUGUUUCACACAGUUAAUUGGCUGAGUUCCCUUUUUUGUUUACAUGGUCUGAAAAGGCAUCACUGUAUCACCAGCCCUGCAACUUUAGAAGCACACAUUACAGACAGGUUUCACUCUAUCCCACCUUUACCAGGUUUUGACAGAAACCUGGUAAAACACACAUAUUUGUGGUGAGACUCCGCAAGAGCCAUUUAAUUUGCGUAUUUUGACACUUGUCCACUUGUGUUGAAUUUUUGUAAUACACUUCUGUAUUUACAAACACUAUUAAAACAGUCUAUUUAAAAUCCACAGAUUGAAAGCAUACAUUCAGGAAGGCUGUGCAUUUAAAAGGCCAUAAGUAUUGUCCAAAGAAUCCAGUUGAUGGAUAAAACUUUGAUCAUGUUGUGAGGCAUAACAAACACCCCCCCCCCCCCCCCCCCCCAAAAAAAAGCCACCGUCCCCAUUGACACUUUAAAGUGAAAGGUGGGGCAUUCGUAAGAUUAGUGGCUGUUGCACCAAGCCUGGAAGUUCAUACGUGUCCAGCUGAUAGAGAUCACGUCCUCUAUCAUUAGGCAAAGGUUCUUGCUCUGUGCAGCUCUGGAAUAGCUUAUUUCGCCAUUCCCUCUUAAAUAAAGGUGCAUAAAACAAAGCACAGAUGGCCAGUAAGAUGGUUACAACUAGUGAUGGCCAAAUGAAGCUUUCCGAAGCACUGAAGCUUGUAUUGAAAAACGGUUCAUUACUCGAAGCUUUUCAACACAGUCCUCUCCGGUGACAUCUGGUGGUGAAAAUUUUGAAGAGCAGCUUGAAUCUGCAAAAUAAAACGGACUGCUCAAUUAUCACUGCUCACUCAAGAGUGGAGUUCUCUCUGAUAUUGGGCCACCGUUCCGUUGCUUUGAAGAUGUAAUUGGUUUGUUUUCUCGAUUGGGGGGCUGAAAAAAAUGUAAUGCGUAU
Molecule: long non-coding RNA, 5609 nt
Organism: Astatotilapia calliptera (eastern happy)
Lineage: Eukaryota; Metazoa; Chordata; Actinopteri; Cichliformes; Cichlidae
Source: Ensembl